AUACGUAGGGUGCAAGCGUUAAUCGGAAUUACUGGGCGUAAAGCGUGCGCAGGCGGUUUUGUAAGACAGUGGUGAAAUCCCCGGGCUCGACCUGGGAACUGCUAUUGUGACUGCAAGGCUGGAGUGCGGCAGAGGGGGAUGGAAUUCCGCGUGUAGCAGUGAAAUGCGUAGAUAUGCGGAGGAACACCGAUGGCGAAGGCAAUCCCCUGGGCCUGCACUGACGCUCAUGCACGAAAGCGUGGGGAGCAAACAGGAUUAGAUACCCUGGUAGUCCACGCCCUAAACGAUGUCAACUGGUUGUUGGGGAUUUAUUUUCUCAGUAACGAAGCUAACGCGUGAAGUUGACCGCCUGGGGAGUACGGCCGCAAGGUUAAAACUCAAAUGAAUUGGCGGGG
Molecule: ribosomal RNA, 395 nt
Filed under: uncultured bacterium
Lineage: Bacteria
Description: partial 16S ribosomal RNA
Rfam family: Bacterial small subunit ribosomal RNA
Source: RNAcentral